GAUGAACGCUGGCGGCGUGCCUAAUACAUGCGAGUCGAGCGAACAGACGAGGAGCUUGCUCCUCUGACGUUAGCGGCGGACGGGUGAGUAACACGUGGAUAACCUACCUAUAAGACUGGGAUAACUUCGGGAAACCGGAGCUAAUACCGGAUAACAUGUUGAACCGCAUGGUUCAACAGUGAAAGACGGUCUUGCUGUCACUUAUAGAUGGAUCCGCGCCGCAUUAGCUAGUUGGUAAGGUAACGGCUUACCAAGGCAACGAUGCGUAGCCGACCUGAGAGGGUGAUCGGCCACCCUGGAACUGAGACACGGUCCAGACUCCUACGGGAGGCAGCAGUAGGGAAUCUUCCGCAAUGGGCGAAAUCCUGACGGAGCAACGCCGCGUGAGUGAAGAAGGUCUUCGGAUCGUAAAACUCUGUUAUUAGGGAAGAACAAAUGUGUAAGUAACUAUGCACGUCUUGACGGUACCUAAUCAGAAAGCCACGGCUAACUACGUG
RNAcentral lists this ribosomal RNA (497 nucleotides) under uncultured bacterium. Its description in RNAcentral is "partial 16S ribosomal RNA". It matches the Rfam family "Bacterial small subunit ribosomal RNA", at positions 28 to 507 of the family's 1533-position model. The record is from RNAcentral.